UGAUUUAAAUUAAAAUUUUGAAUUUGAACUGAAAGUUUUAUUUUAAAUUUGUGUUUUAUAUUUAAAAGUUGAAUUUGAUUUAUAAUUAAGUUUUUUAUGUUGUUUUGUAUUUAAAUUUACAGUUUAGUUGUAAUUUGAAUUCCAACUAUUGUUGUAGGUAUUUGAAAAGGUUAUAGUAUUCUUAGUUGGAUAAAACCUAUCUUGUAGGCCAAAAUAUUUUUCUAAGACCAAAAUACCCUUUAAAUAGGUAUCUGGUGAAUGGUACUUAUGCCAAAAUAGUAGGUCGCCUUGAUUUACAUGGUGUAUUGAGGUAUUAUUCUUUUUUUUUUUUUUUUGAGAGAAAGGUAGCAUGUUACCCGCUUCGUUUUUUCAUUUAUAAAUAAACUUGGCUGAAAAUGUGAAUCAAUUAGGAUUCGAACUUGGGUCUCGGGUACCAACCACCAAGCCCUUUUGCCACUUGCGCUAGGGACAGUCGGUUAUUACUCAUAAUAUUAAAGCAGAUGCAAAGUUUCUCCUAUUUGAAAAUGGCAUAUAUACGUUGAGUAGGGUUAUUGUGCUAUUAGAAGCACAUAAGUCCUUGUGCUCUUAAUUUUCUAAUUAUUCAUUAAUUUUGAUGGAUGGUUAAAGAUGAGAGAGAAAAGAAAUUGAAAAAAAAAAUUAAAAAGAAGAGAAAUUGAGACACUCAAAUUCUUCUUAAUUUUUUUUCUCUCUUUCACCUUAACCAUUCGUCAAUUUAGAACGUUAGCAGCAUAAGGUCUCUAAUGAUUAUCGUUAUUGCUCUACGCACAAAAAAUU
Molecule: long non-coding RNA, 795 nt
Filed under: Ananas comosus (pineapple)
Lineage: Eukaryota; Viridiplantae; Streptophyta; Magnoliopsida; Poales; Bromeliaceae
Description: long non-coding RNA (ACOM_LNC020638)
Source: RNAcentral